GGUUUGUUUUCAUGUUAAUCCUUCAUAAAACAUUUCAUAUUUAAUGGAUUAUCAGUUAAACGUUCUUCACUAAAUAUGAACCUCUUGAAACUAAAGAAGUACCAUGUAUGGACUAUGUUUGUACACUCAAAAUUUGUAGGAAUACUUGCUGAUCUGUUUUGAAUAGCUGUAACAACUUUGACCCCAGAGCAUUGAUUGGUUAAAAUGAAGAUUUCCUUCAUGUUUAUUGAGGGAAAAUUGAAAGAUUAACUUAAUUUGAUACCAAACAGUUGAAUGACAAUGAGUUUGAAAUUGUGUUGUUUGAAUAUCUCUCUCAGAAGAAUUUCCUUGCUUGAAAUAGUUCACUUGCCUGAAGGACUACCUAAAGUUUGAAAGAUGUCAUCUUCUAUAACUGAUGAUACAAGCUUAAUUAGAAUCGACCACAACUUACUAAGUGUACCUUUCUGACUUGUGGCUCUACUAAUUAUGCCUGUUCUUUCCAUGUAGGGAAUGACUAGCCUGAAGUAACAAUUGUGCUCUGAUUUAUAAAUGUGUUCUGAUGUUCAAAAAAAAAGCUUUAGACCAGAAAAUGCCUUCUAUGGAGAGAAAUAAAAAUCACAUUUGGGAUCAAAUUUGAGACUGUGGGAGCAACAACUGUGUGGAUCUGUCUCCAAACUUGGAGAGCUGCCAUUGCUUAUGGAGAUUUACAUAACUAUCUAAAAUAUUUGAUAUUUACUGAAUUCAAUUUUCACCACCUGCCAUUGUCAGAUUGAAACCCAUUUCACCAGAACAUUACCAAUGGAUUCUAGAUUACUAGUCUAGCAACAUCACCGGUAUACAGGUGCUGUCAGACCUGUUGAGAAUUUCCAACAUUUUCUGGAUCUAUUAUGUAUUCAUUCAAAAGGAAAAGAGUCUAUGCAACAAAUUCAGAAGACUGGAACUUCCAUCUCAACACUGUCAAAUCUGCUAAAUAAUCAAACUAUUUCUGAGUUCCUGAUGUCUUAAAUUAUAUACAAACUGAAUGACAGUUCUUCAUUUGAAUCUAACAGGAAAAUGUCUUUCAUUUACUGUAGACCUAAUGAAAAAAUAACAAUUCAAAUAACAUUUCAGAACCCAUUGCUUGGUACUGUGGAAUUAAUUAAUUUUGUGCUCUGGCAAGAGAUCAGCAACCUGAAACUUUAAAUCUCUUUCUCUCCUCAUGAUGCUACUUGGCCCACUAAGUAUUUACAACAUUUUUGAGUUUUAUUUUACCAUGCUAGCAUUGGCAACAUUGUACUUUCUCAUUUUCUGUUAUUUUCUGUUGACUGCUUCUAAGGUGUAAAUUGUAGGAUAUCAGGACACAAAAACUAGGCAUUCAUUCAUGACGU
Chiloscyllium plagiosum (whitespotted bambooshark) is the source of this 1346-nucleotide non-coding RNA. The record is from RefSeq and is a predicted model, not a curated record. Lineage: Eukaryota; Metazoa; Chordata; Chondrichthyes; Orectolobiformes; Hemiscylliidae.